UGGGGAAUAUUGGACAAUGGGCGCAAGCCUGAUCCAGCCAUGCCGCGUGAGUGGUGAAGGCCCUAGGGUUGUAAAGCUCUUUCACCGGUGAAGAUAAUGACGGUAACCGGAGAAGAAGCCCCGGCUAACUUCGUGCCAGCAGCCGCGGUAAUACGAAGGGGGCUAGCGUUGUUCGGAUUUACUGGGCGUAAAGCGCACGUAGGCGGACUUUUAAGUCAGGGGUGAAAUCCCGGGGCUCAACCCCGGAACUGCCUUUGAUACUGGAAGUCUUGAGUAUGGUAGAGGUGAGUGGAAUUCCGAGUGUAGAAGUGAAAUUCGUAGAUAUUCGGAGGAACACCAGUGGCGAAGGCGGCUCACUGGACCAUUACUGACGCUGAGGUGCGAAAGCGUGGGGAGCAAACAGG
This 404-nucleotide ribosomal RNA is filed under the name Actinomycetes bacterium. Its description in RNAcentral is "Actinobacteria bacterium partial 16S ribosomal RNA". It matches the Rfam family "Bacterial small subunit ribosomal RNA", at positions 355 to 776 of the family's 1533-position model. The record is from RNAcentral. Lineage: Bacteria; Bacillati; Actinomycetota; Actinomycetes.